RNAcentral lists this ribosomal RNA (492 nucleotides) under uncultured bacterium. Its description in RNAcentral is "partial 16S ribosomal RNA". It matches the Rfam family "Bacterial small subunit ribosomal RNA", at positions 29 to 507 of the family's 1533-position model. The record is from RNAcentral.
AGUGAACGCUGGCGGUAGGCCUAACACAUGCAAGUCGAACGGCAGCACAGUAAGAGCUUGCUCUUACGGGUGGCGAGUGGCGGACGGGAGAGGAAUACAUCGGAAUCUACUUUUUCGUGGGGGAUAACGUAGGGAAACUUACGCUAAUACCGCAUACGACCUACGGGUGAAAGCAGGGGAUCUUCGGACCUUGCGCGAUUGAAUGCGCCGAUGUCGGAUUAGCUAGUUGGCGGGGUAAAGGCCCACCAAGGCGACGAUCCGUAGCUGGUCUGAGAGGAUGGUCGGCCACACUGGAACGGAGACACGGUCCAGACUCCUACGGGAGGCAGCAGUGGGGAAUAUUGGACAAUGGGCGCAAGCCUGAUCCAGCCAUACCGCGUGGGUGAAGAAGGCCUUCGGGUUGUAAAGCCCUUUUGUUGGGAAAGAAAAGCAGCAGGUUAAUACCCCGCUGUUCUGACGGUACCCAAAGAAUAAGCACCGGCUAACUUCGUG